AACGCUGGCGGCGUGCCUAACACAUGCAAGUCGAACGAGAAGUACGUAGCAAUACGUAUUGUAAAGUGGCGCACGGGUGAGUAACACGUGGGUAAUCUGCCCUUGAGUUUGGGAUAACCCCGCGAAAGCGGGGCUAAUACCGAAUAAGACCACGGGGACCAAAGUCCCUGAGGUAAAAGAUGGCCUCUAUUUAUAAGCUAUCACUUGAGGAUGAGCCCGCGGCCCAUUAGCUAGUUGGCAGGGUAACGGCCUACCAAGGCAAUGAUGGGUAGCUGGUCUGAGAGGACGAUCAGCCACACUGGAACUGAGACACGGUCCAGACUCCUACGGGAGGCAGCAGUGGGGAAUAUUGCGCAAUGGGCGAAAGCCUGACGCAGCAACGCCGCGUGGGGGAUGAAGGUUCUCGGAUUGUAAACCCCUUUCGAUCGGAACGAAUCCCCUCCUGGUAAAUAAUCAGGAGGAUCGACGGUACCGAGAGAAGAAGCCACGGCUAACUCUGUGCCAGCAGCCGCGGUAAGACAGAGGUGGCGAGCGUUGUUCGGAUUUAUUGGGCGUAAAGCGAACGCAGGUGGUUUGGUAAGUCAGGGGUGAAAGACCACAGCUUAACUGUGGCAUUGCCUUUGAUACUGCCUUUCUUGAGUAGAGUAGGGGGAAGCGGAAUUCCGAGUGUAGAGGUGAAAUUCGUAGAUAUUCGGAGGAACACCGGUGGCGAAGGCGGCUUCCUGGACUCUAACUGACACUCAUGUUCGAAAGCGUGGGGAGCAAACAGGAUUAGAUACCCUGGUAGUCCACGCCCUAAACGAUGGGCACUAGGUGUGGGAGGUAUCGACCCCUUCCGUGCCGCAGCUAACGCAUUAAGUGCCCCGCCUGGGGAGUACGGCCGCAAGGUUGAAACUCAAA
RNAcentral lists this ribosomal RNA (900 nucleotides) under uncultured bacterium. Its description in RNAcentral is "bacterial SSU rRNA". It matches the Rfam family "Bacterial small subunit ribosomal RNA", at positions 32 to 905 of the family's 1533-position model. The record is from RNAcentral.